AUUGAACGCUGGCGGCAUGCCUUACACAUGCAAGUCGAACGGUAACGCGGGGGCAACCCUGGCGACGAGUGGCGAACGGGUGAGUAAUACAUCGGAACGUACCCAGUAGUGGGGGGUAGCUCGGCGAAAGCCGGAUUAAUACCGCAUACGACCUAUGGGUGAAAGCGGGGGAUCGCAAGACCUCGCGCUAUUGGAGCGGCCGAUGUCGGAUUAGCUAGUUGGUGAGGUAAAGGCUCACCAAGGCUACGAUCCGUAGCUGGUCUGAGAGGACGACCAGCCACACUGGGACUGAGACACGGCCCAGACUCCUACGGGAGGCAGCAGUGGGGAAUUUUUGGGACAAUGGGCGAAAGCCUGAUCCAGCCAUGCCGCGUGUGUGAAGAAGGGCCUUCGGGUUGUAAAGCACUUUUGUCCGGAACGAAACGGCAAGAGCGAAUAACUCUUGUUAAUGACGGUACCGGAAG
RNAcentral lists this ribosomal RNA (464 nucleotides) under uncultured bacterium. Its description in RNAcentral is "bacterial SSU rRNA". It matches the Rfam family "Bacterial small subunit ribosomal RNA", at positions 30 to 484 of the family's 1533-position model. The record is from RNAcentral.